UAAAAAUUUAUGAUUUAAAAAAUUUAUUUUGAAUUUAAUUUACAUGUAAAUUUUUGUAUGAAUUUUAUUGUAUUUUAAAAAUAUAAUGAAUAAAUUAACAGUAAUUAAAAUUAAAAAUUUAAGAAAUUAAGAUUUAGGAAUAUAAAAUUAUAAAUAACAAAUUUUGUGCCAGCAGUUGCGGUUAUACAAAAAUUUAAAUAAAUUUUAAUAAUAAAAAUAAAUAAUUAAAUUUAAAUUAAAUUUAAAAUUAUUAAGUGAAAUUUUAAUUUUAUAAAAAUUUAUAUAUUAAUUAUGAAUUUAAAAAUUUUGUUAAUAAACUAGGAUUAGAUACCCUAUUAUAAAAAAUUAAUUAUAAAUAUUAAAAUAGUAAAUAAUUAUUUAUUGAAACUUAAGUAAUUUGGCGGUAUUUUAGUUCAUUUAGAGGAAUCUGUCUAAUAAUUGAUAAUCCACGAAUAAUCAUAUUUAAUUUAAAAUUUUAUAUAUCGUUGUAAAAAAAAUAUUUUUAAAAAAAAAUAAUAUUUUAAAAUUUCAAAUUAAAAUUAAUUCAGAUCAAGAUGUAGAUAAUAAUUAAAUUUAAGAUGGAUUACAAUAUAAUUAUAUAUGUGGAAAAUGAUUUAAAAUAAUUGUUUGAAAUUGGAUUUAAAUGUAAUUUUAAAUAGUUUUUUAAAAUGAUUAAAAAUUGAAAUAUGUACAUAUUGCCCGUCACUUUCAUUUUAAAGUUGAAAUAAGUCGUAACAAAGUAGGAGUACUGGAAAGUGUUUCUAGAAAGAA
RNAcentral lists this non-coding RNA (771 nucleotides) under Aporia hippia. Lineage: Eukaryota; Metazoa; Arthropoda; Insecta; Lepidoptera; Pieridae. The record is from RNAcentral.